AUACGGAGGGUGCAAGCGUUACUCGGAAUCACUGGGCGUAAAGCGCGCGCAGGCGGCUAUUUAAGUUGGAUGUGAAAGCCUACGGCUCAACCGUAGAACUGCAUCCAAAACUAUUUAGCUAGAGUGUGGGAGAGGAAGAUGGAAUUAGUUGUGUAGGGGUAAAAUCCGUAGAGAUAACUAGGAAUACCAAAAGCGAAGGCAAUCUUCUGGAACACUACUGACGCUGAGGCGCGAAAGCGUGGGGAGCAAACAGAAUUAGAAACCCCAGUAGUCC
This 274-nucleotide ribosomal RNA is filed under the name uncultured bacterium. RNAcentral's name for it is "partial 16S ribosomal RNA". It matches the Rfam family "Bacterial small subunit ribosomal RNA", at positions 523 to 796 of the family's 1533-position model. The record is from RNAcentral.